GAUGAACGCUAGCUACAGGCUUAACACAUGCAAGUCGAGGGGAAACGAUAUUGGAAGCUUGCUUCCGAUAGGCGUCGACCGGCGCACGGGUGAGUAACGCGUAUCCAACCUGCCCACCACUUGGGGAUAACCUUGCGAAAGUAAGACUAAUACCCAAUGACGUCCAUAGAAGACAUCUGAAAUGGAUUAAAGAUUUAUCGGUGAUGGAUGGGGAUGCGUCUGAUUAGCUUGUUGGCGGGGUAACGGCCCACCAAGGCGACGAUCAGUAGGGGUUCUGAGAGGAAGGUACCCCACAUUGGAACUGAGACGCGGUCCAAACUCCUACGGGAGGCAGCAGUGAGGAAUAUUGGUCAAUGGGCGAGAGCCUGAACCAGCCAAGUAGCGUGCAGGAGGACGGCCCUAUGGGUUGUAAACUGCUUUUAUAAGGGAAUAAAGUGAGUCUCGUGAGGCUUUUUGCAUGUACCUUAUGAAUAAGGACCGGCUAAUUCCGUGCCAGCAGCCGCCGUAA
RNAcentral lists this ribosomal RNA (508 nucleotides) under uncultured bacterium. RNAcentral's name for it is "partial 16S ribosomal RNA". It matches the Rfam family "Bacterial small subunit ribosomal RNA", at positions 28 to 523 of the family's 1533-position model. The record is from RNAcentral.